RNAcentral lists this transfer RNA (79 nucleotides) under Pseudomonadota bacterium. RNAcentral describes it as "tRNA-Cys". It matches the Rfam family "tRNA". Rfam says of the family: Transfer RNA (tRNA) molecules are approximately 80 nucleotides in length. Their secondary structure includes four short double-helical elements and three loops (D, anti-codon, and T loops). Further hydrogen bonds mediate the characteristic L-shaped molecular structure. tRNAs have two regions of fundamental functional importance: the anti-codon, which is responsible for specific mRNA codon recognition, and the 3' end, to which the tRNAs corresponding amino acid is attached (by aminoacyl-tRNA synthetases). tRNAs cope with the degeneracy of the genetic code in two manners: having more than one tRNA (with a specific anti-codon) for a particular amino acid; and 'wobble' base-pairing, i.e. permitting non-standard base-pairing at the 3rd anti-codon position. The record is from RNAcentral. Lineage: Bacteria; Pseudomonadati; Pseudomonadota.
GGCCUCGGUGGCCGAGACAGUCCAAGGUAUCAGGGGUGCAACCCUGAGGAUGUCGGUGCAAGUCCGACCCGAGCCCCCA